GUUUGGUGGCGAUAGCGAAGAGGUCACACCCGUUCCCAUGCCGAACACGGAAGUUAAGCUCUUCAGCGCCGAUGGUAGUCGGGGGUUUCCCCCUGUGAGAGUAGGACGCCGCCAAGCC
Molecule: ribosomal RNA, 118 nt
Filed under: Bacillus amyloliquefaciens CC178
Lineage: Bacteria; Bacillati; Bacillota; Bacilli; Caryophanales; Bacillaceae
Source: RNAcentral